AUACUCUGGUUUCUUUUCAUUUACGAUUAAAUCUUUCGCCUUUUACUAAAGAUUUCCGUGGAGAGGAACAAUUAUGAGUUCUAAAUAAUUUUUUGAUGCCCGGCGAAUGUUGGGCU
This is a small nuclear RNA of Hyla sarda, 116 nucleotides long. RefSeq annotates it as U5 spliceosomal RNA. The transcript has a single exon. The record is from RefSeq and is a predicted model, not a curated record. Lineage: Eukaryota; Metazoa; Chordata; Amphibia; Anura; Hylidae.